CCUACGGGUGGCAGCAGUCGAGAAUCAUUCACAAUGGGGGAAACCCUGAUGGUGCGACGCCGCGUGGGGGAAUGAAGGUCUUCGGAUUGUAAACCCCUGUCAUGUGGGAGCAAAUUAAAAAGAUAGUACCACAAGAGGAAGAGACGGCUAACUCUGUGCCAGCAGCCGCGGUAAUACCGAGGUCUCAAGCGUUGUUCGGAAUCACUGGGCGUAAAGCGUGCGUAGGCUGUUUCGUAAGUCGUGUGUGAAAGGCGCGGGCUCAACCCGCGGACGGCACAUGAUACUGCGAGACUAGAGUAAGGGAGGGGGAACCGGAAUUCUCGGUGUAGCAGUGAAAUGCGUAGAUAUCGAGAGGAACACUCGUGGCGAAGGCGGGUUCCUGGACAUUAACUGACGCUGAGGCACGAAGGCCAGGGGAGCGAAAGGGAUUAGAUACCAUGGUAGUC
This 446-nucleotide ribosomal RNA is filed under the name uncultured bacterium. Its description in RNAcentral is "partial 16S ribosomal RNA". It matches the Rfam family "Bacterial small subunit ribosomal RNA", at positions 338 to 795 of the family's 1533-position model. The record is from RNAcentral.